AUGUGACGAUUCAUGAAGCUUUAUUGAUAACAGCUGAGACCUGGAAACGGCCCACGUGUCCCUCCACAGGAGACUGGAUGAGCAAUGUGCGGUGUGAUCGCACAACACGGCAGGGAGGAGGCAGUGAGGUGCUGACACCUGCAAGGCCGAGGAGGAAGCCCAUCUUGGUGCUGUAGAUGCCGUGUACACGAAGAACAGGCAAAGUGAUCCACUGUGGGAGAAGCGGAAACUGUGGUCAGCUCUGGCCACGCCGGGAUUAACUGGGAAGGGCCUGCAGGAACUUUGCGGGUGAUGGGAAUUUUCUGUAUCUUGAUGGAGGUUUGGGUUAUACGAGUGUAUGAAUUCGUCAAAAGAUGAGCAAAUUUACACAUAAAUCUGUGUGUUUCUCUGUAAACUGCUUCUCUUUGCGGAACAAAAACAAAAACCCUGUAGCAUGCUGGAGAGAAAGGGCUAUGGUCCUUCCUGGAAAAGUUCUGGGAGGGAGACGGGGAUCCAGCCACGUCCUGCAACACCGCAGUGUGGGGCGUGGACCGUCACGAGGCCCAGGUCUGGUGGGAAAACAUUAGUGGACUCAGUGUCGGAACCCAAGGGCGGGACUUCUUAGAACUGAGAAUCUUGAGACUGGUGAGGUCUCCAAAGGGCCCUGAUGCGGGUGGCACUGCAGGCCCUGCCACACUUCCUCUCCCAGUGCCAGCUGUCACCAGAAAAGAGAGCGUUCAUGUCUCAACUAUCAGAAACCUUCAACUCGCAUAAACCUCAGGGCUGCCAGGAGCAUUCACAAUCACCAAAUGUCACUUCGCACCCAAUGCAGGACACUUCCCCCCCCCCCCCGCCAAGGCACCAUCCCCAUGCCCGGCAAGGCCUGCCCUGGGUGCACCAGAUGUUCCAUGUCUUCUGCUGGGGGGCACUUAGAAGUGCCUUCAAUGCUUUCUAUCCAAAAAUGCUUAGCUUGACCUCGUCAGAGGCUCUAUAGCCCCACUUUACAGGCAACACAGGGGACAGAAGGACGAACUAAACAAUGUCACAAAGAAGCAAUGGGACAAAUCCAGGAGGUGAGGUGUCACACAGUGUAAUUGGCCCAAAAUAAGGACAGUUAUGAAUUAAAGAGACUUACGGAACAUGACCACCUGUGAAAACGAAUGGCCAUGGAUUUGUUAUUGAUUUGCACAAAAUUACGGUAAAUAACACACAUUUUGAACAUAGACUAGGUAUUGAUGAGAAGAAAUUUAGUGAAAUAGAAAGGUAGAGAUCAUUGAAUAAAGAUAUGAAACAAUACACUCAUUUUGUCUAAUUUUAAGAUUUUUUUUUUCGGGCCUCUAAGAUAUUCACAGCCAGGAUCGCUCAGUGAUAGAAGGGUUUUUUCUUCUUUUGUGCUUGCUUCUAUUUUCUAGAUU
Molecule: long non-coding RNA, 1394 nt
Filed under: Sus scrofa (pig)
Lineage: Eukaryota; Metazoa; Chordata; Mammalia; Artiodactyla; Suidae
Description: lncRNA (ENSSSCG00015021353.1)
Source: RNAcentral